GAUGAAGAACGUAGCGAAAUGCGAUACUUGGUGUGAAUUGCAGAAUCCCGUCAACCAUCGAGUCUUUGAACGCAAGUUGCGCCCGAAGCCAUUAGGCCGAGGGCACGCCUGCCUGGGCGUCACACGUCGUUGCCCCCCCAUCUACUCCUUCGGGAUUGCGGGGGGCGGAUGAUGGCCUCUCGUGCGCCUCGUCGCGCGGUUGGCCUAAAUGCCAAGUCCUCGGCGACGCACGCCACGACAAUCGGUGGUUGCGAAACCUCGGUUGCCUGUCGUGUGCGGUCGUCGCGCAUCGAGGGCUCGAAAAAAUUGCCGGGCUUCGGCUCGACUUUCAACGCGACCCCAGGUCAGGCGGGGUUACCCGCUGAAUUUAAGCAUAUCAAUAAGCGGAGGA
RNAcentral lists this unclassified non-coding RNA (391 nucleotides) under soil metagenome. RNAcentral describes it as "partial contains 5.8S ribosomal RNA, internal transcribed spacer 2, and large subunit ribosomal RNA". The stretch from base 1 to 122 matches the Rfam family "5.8S ribosomal RNA", at positions 35 to 154 of the family's 154-position model. The record is from RNAcentral.